Molecule: non-coding RNA, 114 nt
Filed under: Vibrio rumoiensis
Lineage: Bacteria; Pseudomonadati; Pseudomonadota; Gammaproteobacteria; Vibrionales; Vibrionaceae
Also listed under: 1 other name
Description: Guanine sequence
Rfam family: Purine riboswitch aptamer
About the family: Riboswitches are metabolite binding domains within certain messenger RNAs that serve as precision sensors for their corresponding targets.
Source: RNAcentral
CAAUCUAGCGAGAGCUAACUUCGUAUAAUCCCACUAAUCAGCAUCCUUAGCUUUAGGUGUGGGAGUCUCUACCAGAAGCCUCAAUUUCUGAUUACGAAGAGUAAGCGAGCGAUC